GCUCAUUUCUCUUCUUCUUUACUCUAUACGUUGGUGUUAUAACCAAUAAUCACCAAAGCGAAGUUCUGUCCAAUUGAUUCAGGAACCAACGAACGAAUGCCAAAGUGUUGUACUUUGUGAAUUUCGGUAAACGGAAUCCAAAGUACUAUACCUUGUGAUUUCGAUAAACGGAAUCCAAAGUAUUACAUUUUGUAAAUUUUGUUAAGGUUCGAAUCUCGUGACUACCGUUAGGUUUGAUUUGGGUUUUACACAAAUACGUAUUCCAUUCUGUUAAACUAUAUGUUUAACUACCGAAAAUACUUCCCACUACACACUCACAAUCAAACAAACUAUUAAAUCAUCAGAAGAUCCAGAAUAAUAAAGGACAUGCUUAAUUAUCGGAAGAAGUAGAAUCAAGAAGUUGUUAACUCAAUCCUACAUGCUGAUUUGUAAUCACGGUAUAUUGGAGUAAGGAUUGUAUCCGGCACUGAAGGACUUCAAGAAGUGGCUUAUUUUAUUAAUUAAAUCAAAAUUAAGAAAUAUUAUUUUUAUUAAAAGCUACCUUUGUAAAAAAAUGGAAUUUAUUCCAUCUAUUUAAAUAAAAUCCGGUGUUUCGAAACUCUGAUAUUUUUCCUAACUCACGGUCCUGAUGAAAAUUCCACUGCAAUGUUUUUCAAAAUAAUCACCGGUACCACUGGACUGCUCACAGCUUCCGAUUCCGGCCAGGAUGGGGUCGGGGGUCGUGACACUAGCUAACAAAUCUAAAGGUUUCAGUAGUCCUAGUUACGGAUUAAAUGUGUUACAAAGUGCAAAUCACAUGGAUCAUCCAUGUGUAUUUGGCAAAAAAAGGGGACUAUAAACACAUGGACCAUCCACUUACUUUUGAAAGCUAAGGGCCAAAUCGAAAGAUUUCGUCAAUCAAAGGGAUCAUCCAUGUAUUUUAUUCUGGUUAGCAUCAUUUGUUGAUGUUAGACCAAUUAUUCCUGAUAUUGAUGGUACCCUUUUCUAAUAUUUUAUAUUGUACCUCUCUUAUAUAUAUAAAAAGUUUUAUUUGUCGU
RNAcentral lists this long non-coding RNA (1037 nucleotides) under Helianthus annuus (common sunflower). Its description in RNAcentral is "hypothetical non coding rna". The record is from RNAcentral. Lineage: Eukaryota; Viridiplantae; Streptophyta; Magnoliopsida; Asterales; Asteraceae.